Molecule: ribosomal RNA, 657 nt
Filed under: uncultured Schwartzia sp.
Lineage: Bacteria; Bacillati; Bacillota; Negativicutes; Selenomonadales; Selenomonadaceae
Description: bacterial SSU rRNA
Rfam family: Bacterial small subunit ribosomal RNA
Source: RNAcentral
UAGUUGGUGGAGUAAUGGUUCACCAAGGCAAUGAUACGUAGCCGACCUGAGAGGGUAAUCGGCCACAUUGGGACUGAGACACGGCCCAAACUCCUACGGGAGGCAGCAGUGGGGAAUCUUCCGCAAUGGACGAAAGUCUGACGGAGCAACGCCGCGUGAGUGAAGAAGGUUUUCGAAUCGUAAAGCUCUGUUGUCAGGGACGAGCAGGGGGAGUAUCAACAACACUCUCUCAUGACGGUACCUGACGAGGAAGCCACGGCUAACUACGUGCCAGCAGCCGCGGUAAUACGUAGGUGGCGAGCGUUGUCCGGAAUUAUUGGGCGUAAAGGGAGCGCAGGUGGGAAAGUAAGUCUGCUUUAAAAGUGCGGGGCUCAACCCCGUGAGGGAGUGGAAACUAUUUUUCUUGAGUGCAGGAGAGGAAAGCGGAAUUCCUAGUGUAGCGGUGAAAUGCGUAGAUAUUAGGAGGAACACCAGUGGCGAAGGCGGCUUUCUGGACUGUAACUGACACUGAGGCUCGAAAGCCAGGGGAGCGAACGGGAUUAGAUACCCCGGUAGUCCUGGCCGUAAACGAUGGAUACUAGGUGUAGGAGGUAUCGACCCCUUCUGUGCCGGAGUUAACGCAAUAAGUAUCCCGCCUGGGGAGUACGAUCGCAAGAU